RNAcentral lists this ribosomal RNA (433 nucleotides) under uncultured bacterium. RNAcentral describes it as "partial 16S ribosomal RNA". It matches the Rfam family "Bacterial small subunit ribosomal RNA", at positions 29 to 507 of the family's 1533-position model. The record is from RNAcentral.
AACGAAUGCUGGCGGCAUGCCUAACACAUGCAAGUCGAACGAAGCCUUCGGGCUUAGUGGCGCACGGGUGCGUAACGCGUGGGAAUCUGCCCCUUGCUUCGGAAUAACAGUUAGAAAUGACUGCUAAUACCGGAUGAAGUCUUCGGACCAAAGAUUUAUCGGCAAGGGAUGAGCCCGCGUAGGAUUAGGUAGUUGGUGGGGUAAAGGCCUACCAAGCCGACGAUCCUUAGCUGGUCUGAGAGGAUGAUCAGCCACACUGGGACUGAGACACGGCCCAGACUCCUACGGGAGGCAGCAGUGGGGAAUAUUGGACAAUGGACGCAAGUCUGAUCCAGCAAUGCCGCGUGAGUGAUGAAGGCCUUAGGGUUGUAAAGCUCUUUUACCAGGGAUGAUAAUGACAGUACCUGGAGAAUAAGCUCCGGCUAACUCCGUG